This 1487-nucleotide ribosomal RNA is filed under the name metagenome. RNAcentral describes it as "bacterial SSU rRNA". It matches the Rfam family "Bacterial small subunit ribosomal RNA". The record is from RNAcentral.
AGAGUUUGAUCCUGGCUCAGAUUGAACGCUGGCGGCAUGCCUUACACAUGCAAGUCGAACGGCAGCACGGGAGCAAUCCUGGUGGCGAGUGGCGAACGGGUGAGUAAUACAUCGGAACGUGCCCAGUUGUGGGGGAUAGCCCGGCGAAAGCCGGAUUAAUACCGCAUACGACCUACGGGUGAAAGCGGGGGAUCGCAAGACCUCGCGCAAUUGGAGCGGCCGAUGGCAGAUUAGCUUGUUGGUGGGGUAAAAGCCUACCAAGGCGACGAUCUGUAGCUGGUCUGAGAGGACGACCAGCCACACUGGGACUGAGACACGGCCCAGACUCCUACGGGAGGCAGCAGUGGAAUUUUGGACAAUGGGCGCAAGCCUGAUCCAGCCUUGCCGCGUGUGGGAAGAAGGCCUUCGGGUUGUAAACCACUUUUGUCAGGGAAGAAACGGUCUGAUCUAAUAAAUCGGACUAAUGACGGUACCUGAAGAAUAAGCACCGGCUAACUACGUGCCAGCAGCCGCGGUAAUACGUAGGGUGCAAGCGUUAAUCGGAAUUACUGGGCGUAAAGCGUGCGCAGGCGGCUAUGCAAGACAGAUGUGAAAUCCCCGGGCUCAACCUGGGAACUGCAUUUGUGACUGCAUGGCUAGAGUACGGCAGAGGGGGAUGGAAUUCCGCGUGUAGCAGUGAAAUGCGUAGAUAUGCGGAGGAACACCGAUGGCGAAGGCAAUCCCCUGGGCCUGUACUGACGCUCAUGCACGAAAGCGUGGGGAGCAAACAGGAUUAGAUACCCUGGUAGUCCACGCCCUAAACGAUGUCAACUGGUUGUUGGACGGCUUGCUGUUCAGUAACGAAGCUAACGCGUGAAGUUGACCGCCUGGGGAGUAUGGCCGCAAGGUUGAAACUCAAAGGAAUUGACGGGGACCCGCACAAGCGGUGGAUGAUGUGGUUUAAUUCGAUGCAACGCGAAAAACCUUACCUACCCUUGACAUGUCUAGAAGUUUCCAGAGAUGGAUUCGUGCUCGAAAGAGAACUAGAACACAGGUGCUGCAUGGCCGUCGUCAGCUCGUGUCGUGAGAUGUUGGGUUAAGUCCCGCAACGAGCGCAACCCUUAUCAUUAGUUGCUACGCAAGGGCACUCUAAUGAGACUGCCGGUGACAGACCGGAGGAAGGUGGGGAUGACGUCAGGUCAUCAUGGCCCUUAUGGGUAGGGCUACACACGUCAUACAAUGGCCGGUACAGAGGGCUGCCAACUCGCGAGAGGGAGCUAAUCUCAGAAAACCGGUCGUAGUCCGGAUCGCAGUCUGCAACUCGACUGCGUGAAGUCGGAAUCGCUAGUAAUCGCGGAUCAGCUUGCCGCGGUGAAUACGUUCCCGGGUCUUGUACACACCGCCCGUCACACCAUGGGAGCGGGUUCUGCCAGAAGUAGUUAGCCUAACCGCAAGGAGGGCGAUUACCACGGCAGGGUUCGUGACUGGGGUGAAGUCGUAACAAGGUA